CCUACGGGAGGCAGCAGUGGGGAAUCUUCCGCAAUGGGCGAAAGCCUGACGGAGCAACGCCGCGUGAGUGACGAAGGCCUUCGGGUUGUAAAACUCUGUCUUGAGGGACGAAGGAAGUGACGGUACCUCAGGAGGAAGCCCCGGCUAACUACGUGCCAGCAGCCGCGGUAAUACGUAGGGGGCAAGCGUUGUCCGGAAUUACUGGGCGUAAAGCGCGCGUAGGCGGGCUGUUAAGUCAGGUGUGAAAACCGCGGGCUCAACCUGGGGAGUGCACCUGAUACUGGCGGUCUUGAGGGCAGGAGAGGAAAGUGGAAUUCCUAGUGUAGCGGUGAAAUGCGUAGAUAUUAGGAGGAACACCAGUGGCGAAGGCGGCUUUCUGGCCUGCAACUGACGCUGAGGCGCGAAAGCGUGGGGAGCAAACAGGAUUAGAUACCCUAGUAGU
This 442-nucleotide ribosomal RNA is filed under the name uncultured Peptococcaceae bacterium. RNAcentral describes it as "partial 16S ribosomal RNA". It matches the Rfam family "Bacterial small subunit ribosomal RNA", at positions 338 to 794 of the family's 1533-position model. Lineage: Bacteria; Bacillati; Bacillota; Clostridia; Eubacteriales; Peptococcaceae. The record is from RNAcentral.